Molecule: non-coding RNA, 487 nt
Filed under: Eucalyptus grandis
Lineage: Eukaryota; Viridiplantae; Streptophyta; Magnoliopsida; Myrtales; Myrtaceae
Description: Bacterial small subunit ribosomal RNA
Rfam family: Bacterial small subunit ribosomal RNA
Source: Rfam by way of RNAcentral
GCAGCCAAAAGCAUAACGUUGCCUAAGUGCAAUCUUCUGCAGGGUAUCGGAUGGGGUUGAAAGUGAAAGUUGUCAAAAAAUGAUGGAAAACCAAUUCACUUGAGUGAGACAGAGGAGAGUGGAAUUUCGUUUGUAGAGGUGAAAUCUGGAGAUCUAUGAAGGAGGCCAAAAGCGAAGACAGCUCUCUGGGUCCCUACCGACACUGGUGUGCGAAAGCAUUGGGGGCGAACGGAAUUAGAUACCCUGGUAGUCCAUGCCGUAAACGAUGAGUUAGAUACCCUGGUAGUCCAUGCCAUAAAUGAUGAGUGUUCAUCCUUGGUCUACGCAGAUUAGGGGCCCAACUAACUAGUGAAACACUCCAUCUUAGGAGUACGGUCACAAGACCGAGACUCAAAGGAAUUGACAGGGGCCUAGGAGUAUUAGAGUCAAUGGUCAAAAGCUUUGAUUGAUAAUGACGUGUCAAUGGACAUGUCGAAUCCACGCGUUU